Molecule: ribosomal RNA, 165 nt
Filed under: uncultured bacterium
Lineage: Bacteria
Description: partial 16S rRNA
Rfam family: Bacterial small subunit ribosomal RNA
Source: RNAcentral
UAGGGAAUCUUCGGCAAUGGACGAAAGUCUGACCGAGCAACGCCGCGUGAGUGAAGAAGGUUUUCGGAUCGUAAAACUCUGUUGGUAGAGAAGAACGUUGGUGAGAGUGGAAAGCUCAUCAAGUGACGGUAACUACCCAGAAGGGGACGGCUAACUACGUGCCAC